AUGCUUUCAUUUUUUGCAAGCAAAUCAAAGAAUCCCAAAUUCACAAAUGGGCUUUUUAAUUCUAUUAAAUUAAUAAAAUUAGGGAUUCCCAGGGGCAGCCAGAGGUGUGGACUUAGCCUCCCAGACUGCUCUGGGAAGAUUUUCUACCAUAUCUCCCUAGAGCAUGAGAUCCUGCUGCACCCCACGCUACUUCGGCCCCAACUUGCUCAACACGGUGAAGCAGAAGCUCGUCACCGAGGUGGAGGGGACCUAUACCAGAAAGUAUGCCUUUGUAAUCGCUGUAACCACCACUGACAAUAUUGGUGCUGGUGUGAUCCAGCCAGGCCGAGGAUUUGUCCUUUAUCCAGUUAAGCACAAGCUCAUUGUUUUCCAGCCCUUUAAAGGAGAAGUCGUGGAUGCUACUGUCACUCAGGUCAACAAGGUUGGACUCUUCACAGAAAUUGGGCCUAUGUCUUGCUUCAUCUCUCGACAUUCCAUCCCUUCAGAGAUGGAGUUUGAGCCUAACUCCAACCCACCAUGCUAUAAGACAAUGGAUGAGGAUAUUGUCAUUCAGCAGGACGACGAGAUCCACUUAAAGAUUGUGGGGACUCGUGUGGACAAGAAUGACAUUUUUGCUAUUGGCUCCCUGAUGGAUGAUUACUUAGGGCCUGUAAGCUGAGCCUGGUGGCCUCCUACCCUUGGUCCUGCUCUAGGAAGUGUGAUUGUCACACUUGCUGUGUUGUCCAGAGGUCCGGUCUAGCUGCUGUUGUGGAGGCAAGGAAGGCAGCUCAUCCCUGGAAGGUUCUUCUUUUGGCUUAGCUACUGCUUUCUGAUUUUUCAGUAUGUGUUCUAUGUAAAAAAGCCCUUGGUUCUCAUGGAAGUAUCUUUUUUUUUUUUUUUUUUUUAGCAGGAACAAUAAAUUUU
Sapajus apella (tufted capuchin) is the source of this 903-nucleotide RNA transcript. It is a transcript of the gene named DNA-directed RNA polymerase II subunit RPB7 pseudogene, with no coding region annotated. The record is from RefSeq and is a predicted model, not a curated record. The transcript has a single exon. Lineage: Eukaryota; Metazoa; Chordata; Mammalia; Primates; Cebidae.